AAAUGUGAAAAGUUGUGAAAAACUUAAGUUUACAAAUGCAAAGUCACUUGAGAUUACAAAUGUCAACAACUUAAAACAAUCCAACCAGUAAACAUUACUACAAAUGUCAACAACUUAAAACAAUCCAACCAAUAUCAUGUUUACUGUUUCGCACAGCCAAAUUUAAUUCACUUAAACAAAAUUGAUAUAAUAGCAACAACCAAUGAGACAACAACAAUAACCAGAUACAUUUGCUCCCUUCUCUUGUAUUCAGCGAUCAAAGCUCGU
This 267-nucleotide long non-coding RNA is filed under the name Lotus japonicus. RNAcentral's name for it is "long non-coding RNA (LJAP_LNC000468)". Lineage: Eukaryota; Viridiplantae; Streptophyta; Magnoliopsida; Fabales; Fabaceae. The record is from RNAcentral.